UGGAGUUGUCCCUGGACCCUCAUCCGUCAGGAGAAACAUUUAUUUGGAUGUUUUCUGGGCGGGGGGCGGACUACGGGGCAUGUGUUGGCCUCCCGUUUGCUAAUCGACGGUUGGUUCAAAAUUCGGGGUCCUUUCUGACAUGCGUCACCGAACGGUUGAUGGAAACAACGUUUGCCCAGUGUUGGCAUGUCAGNCGCCGCAAUCCCAUGGCUUCGUUGGCACACUCCGAGGGAGU
RNAcentral lists this unclassified non-coding RNA (235 nucleotides) under Viscum capense. Its description in RNAcentral is "sequence contains ITS2". Lineage: Eukaryota; Viridiplantae; Streptophyta; Magnoliopsida; Santalales; Viscaceae. The record is from RNAcentral.